GUGCGGCUGAGGUCGGCCGACACUGAUGCUGAUGGAUUAUUUAUAGCGGACAGUGACAGGGACAUUUCUGUCUCCACUGCCCCAAAAGGACAGGAGGCUCUCUGUGAGAGAGGCGCGCCUGCUCCGGACCGUGCAUGAAAUGACUCCAUACCAAAGUCAGCAAUUGGUGCCCCGUCUGCCUGAAGAUGUCUUCAGUCUUGUUGAAACACCUCAGGAGGUCACACCGGGUGGCCAAAAUUCAAAAAAGACAGAUUCUGCUGAAUCAACAGCCAGUCUGAGCCCCGUCUAGUCGUACACUAUAAAUACAGCGGCCCGAGACUGGACAAGUGGAGGAGCCGGAGGAGCCGGAGGAGCCGGAGGUGCAGACAUGUGACGACCCCGACUGUGUCCAGCAGCAUGCAAGACCGUCAAAGGCCUCUCUGUGAAGGUGAAGAGGCCGAAGAUGGAAUUGAUCACCUCCCGCAUGGGCUCACAGUGGCUGGCGAGGAAGCUCUGCCGCCUGUCGAGGGAAGCUGGAACAGUGAGUGAGGCCGGCUGGAAGGUGACAAAUAUACAGACAGCGCGGGAGUGAUUGGCAAAAUAAUGGUUCCAUCUAUACUUUUCCAUUUUUUUAUUUUUUUUUACAAUCAAAGCCAGGAGACAGCAGCACCAGGAGGGAGAGCUGGGGCCAUCGGGCAGCCACCUCAGCAGAAAGCCCUUGUGAGUCUGUGUGUGGGUCCUGGAGACAUCUACUGCAGCAGGAACUACUACAGAGGCACUUUUUAGUACUCUGCCAGAUGUUUAUAUUUCAAAGCAAAGGCAAAGGGGCCGUUGCCCCCCCCCCCCCCCCCCCCUCCCCCACAACCUUUACGCCCCUGAUCUGAUUUGGCGUCACAGCUGGUGUGAUCCCAUCGCAACGUGGUCUCUAUGAAUUCAUCCUCGACAGUUUGUAUAAUAUUUCCACAUCAGUAUACAGUAGGAGACGUGAGGUAUGAGUUCUCUUUAUUGGAACCUAAAUCAGUACGCAACAUUUGGCUGAUCUCUCUCAGCAAAUUAUACAAUAUCUCAUCAGUUAUAUUGUCUGAAAAUUGGAUUUUCAAGUCUGACACUGUGUAACUGUUUCAUACAUAAAUUGUUCAAUUAUACAUCACGAGUGAAAUUGGUUGAACAGCACGCGCGCUACGAGGAAAUGAACGGCAAGAUGAAGUAGACAAGAAAAGUGACUUAGUAUUCACAGUUGGUCUGAGGGAAACUUCACCGAGCUGCUCGCGGUGAUUUAUGAGGCUGAAUUUGUUUGAUUUGUUCUUGAGAGCAAAAACUGCCCUCUCAGUUUAAUAGCGAUUUGAAUGCGUCUCAGGAUUCUUACACGAACAUUAUACACUAGCACUCGGGAGUUCAGUUAAACACUAUUUCAAAGCCCAUCAAAGGGGAGCAUUCGGAUUAUAGUGAUGUAUUUGCAACUCUGAGACAUCACAGUGUGAGUGUUACAACUUCAAAGUGGUGACUGCAAGUUCCAUUGGCUUGAACACUGGGGUGCCAUAGAAACCAAAAGAAAAAAAAAACAGACCCUCUGUGUAGAAAGAAAGCCGGCCCGUGAUUCAGACAGAGUUGAACAUCUUCAGUGUGUUGUACCAGGAUAAUCUUUGUAACAUCCAAAAGAAGCUUUUAUCUGCAAACUCUUUCAUAUGUACAGGCUGUUUCUAACAGUUGAUGUCAGUUUCGCAGAGGGUGGUUACAACCUCACUAACACCUGUACGAUCUGAAUGCACCUCUGUGAAGCUCAGAAUGUGUCUUUUUGGUUGAAUGAUUGUGUCACAGAGAUGUUGGCGAGGCUGUUUAUGGAUUGCAGUGUAUAUAAACUGCAUCUAAUAUUUUGUCCACCUCUCCUGCAUCUUUAAUCAACUUCAGACACCCUGGUAUUUUCCCCUCUUUUCAUAUCUAUGUCUCCUCUCUCUCUCUCUUUUUCUCUGUGUGUGACAUAGUUUUCAUCUUUUUUUUUGUGCUGUAUCUGGAGGGCGCCCAGGCAGGGGAAUUCAUCAUCCUAAUGCGCCAUGUAUAAGCACUUGUUAAAAACCCCACACUGCAUUUUUUCGAUAUUCAUCAUGGGUUGUAAUAUUUCUGCUUCGGGUGCCUGAGGCAACUUCUGCAGCCAGUCAAAGAGCAUCAUUGAAGAGAGUGAAAUCAAGCUGGUGGAACUCCCAGAUAUGAAGAGAUGGCUAUUGAGGAAUAGUGUUUUUGCUGGAGGAGAGGUCCAACACACACACACACACACACACACCACACACGCACACCACACA
This is a long non-coding RNA of Sebastes umbrosus (honeycomb rockfish), 2276 nucleotides long. RefSeq lists it as uncharacterized. Lineage: Eukaryota; Metazoa; Chordata; Actinopteri; Perciformes; Sebastidae. The record is from RefSeq and is a predicted model, not a curated record. The transcript has 2 exons.